Molecule: ribosomal RNA, 460 nt
Filed under: uncultured bacterium
Lineage: Bacteria
Description: SSU rRNA
Rfam family: Bacterial small subunit ribosomal RNA
Source: RNAcentral
AGAAUCAACGCUGGCGGCGUGCCUAACACAUGCAAGUCGAACGAGAAAGGGGCUUCGGUCCUGAGUAUAGUGGCGCACGGGUGAGUAACACGUGAAUAAUCUACCUCCGAGUGGGGAAUAACUGGAAGAAAUUUCAGCUAAUACCGCAUAACACUUACGAGUCAAAGCAGCAAUGCGCUUGGAGAGGAGUUCGCGGCAGAUUAGUUAGUUGGCGGGGUAAUGGCCCACCAAGACGAUGAUCUGUAUCCGGCCUGAGAGGGCGCACGGACACACUGGAACUGAAACACGGUCCAGACUCCUACGGGAGGCAGCAGUGGGGAAUUUUGCGCAAUGGGGGAAACCCUGACGCAGCAACGCCGCGUGGAGGAUGAAGUAUCUUGGUACGUAAACUCCUUUCGAUGGGGAAGAUAAUGACGGUACCCAUAGAAGAAGCCCCGGCUAACUUCGCGCCAGCAGCCGC